CCUACGGGGGGCUGCAGUGGGGAAUUUUGGACAAUGGGCGCAAGCCUGAUCCAGCCAUGCCGCGUGCGGGACGAAGGCCUUCGGGUUGUAAACCGCUUUCAGCCGGAAAGAAAUCGCUGUUUUUAAUACAGACAGUGGAUGACGGUACCGGAAGAAGAAGCACCGGCUAACUACGUGCCAGCAGCCGCGGUAAUACGUAGGGUGCGAGCGUUAAUCGGAAUUACUGGGCGUAAAGCGUGCGCAGGCGGUUUUGUAAGCCAGACGUGAAAUCCCCGGGCUUAACCUGGGAACUGCGUUUGGAACUGCAAGACUAGAGUGUGUCAGAGGGAGGUGGAAUUCCACGUGUAGCAGUGAAAUGCGUAGAUAUGUGGAGGAACACCGAUGGCGAAGGCAGCCUCCUGGGAUAACACUGACGCUCAUGCACGAAAGCGUGGGGAGCAAACAGGAUUAGAUACCCCUGUAGUC
Molecule: ribosomal RNA, 465 nt
Filed under: uncultured beta proteobacterium
Lineage: Bacteria; Pseudomonadati; Pseudomonadota; Betaproteobacteria
Description: bacterial SSU rRNA
Rfam family: Bacterial small subunit ribosomal RNA
Source: RNAcentral